Molecule: non-coding RNA, 138 nt
Organism: Gossypium hirsutum (cotton)
Lineage: Eukaryota; Viridiplantae; Streptophyta; Magnoliopsida; Malvales; Malvaceae
Source: Rfam
UGUUAAAAGUUUCAUUUAAUUGUACUGUUAAAAACUCACAUAACCGAUGAAAUAACUAGUGGUGACACAUGGUAUACCCUCUCAUACUAAUGUAUAGGGACUGAUUUUUAACAGUAGAAAUAGAUGAAAGUUUUUGCA